Molecule: ribosomal RNA, 579 nt
Filed under: Neofusicoccum parvum
Lineage: Eukaryota; Fungi; Ascomycota; Dothideomycetes; Botryosphaeriales; Botryosphaeriaceae
Description: eukaryotic LSU rRNA
Rfam family: 5.8S ribosomal RNA (bases 209-362)
Source: RNAcentral
UCCGUAGGUGAACCUGCGGAAGGAUCAUUACCGAGUUGAUUCGAGCUCCGGCUCGACUCUCCCACCCUAUGUGUACCUACCUCUGUUGCUUUGGCGGGCCGCGGUCCUCCGCACCGGCGCCCUUCGGGGGGCUGGCCAGCGCCUGCCAGAGGACCAUAAAACUCCAGUCAGUGAACUUCGCAGUCUGAAAAACAAGUUAAUAAACUAAAACUUUCAACAACGGAUCUCUUGGUUCUGGCAUCGAUGAAGAACGCAGCGAAAUGCGAUAAGUAAUGUGAAUUGCAGAAUUCAGUGAAUCAUCGAAUCUUUGAACGCACAUUGCGCCCCUUGGUAUUCCGAGGGGCAUGCCUGUUCGAGCGUCAUUUCAACCCUCAAGCUCUGCUUGGUAUUGGGCCCCGUCCUCCACGGACGCGCCUUAAAGACCUCGGCGGUGGCGUCUUGCCUCAAGCGUAGUAGAAAACACCUCGCUUUGGAGCGCACGGCGUCGCCCGCCGGACGAACCUUUGAAUUAUUUCUCAAGGUUGACCUCGGAUCAGGUAGGGAUACCCGCUGAACUUAAGCAUAUCAAUAAGCGGAGGA